This 492-nucleotide ribosomal RNA is filed under the name uncultured bacterium. RNAcentral's name for it is "partial 16S ribosomal RNA". It matches the Rfam family "Bacterial small subunit ribosomal RNA", at positions 29 to 507 of the family's 1533-position model. The record is from RNAcentral.
AGUGAACGCUGGCGGUAGGCCUAACACAUGCAAGUCGAACGGCAGCACAGUAAGAGCUUGCUCUUACGGGUGGCGAGUGGCGGACGGGUGAGGAAUACAUCGGAAUCUACUUUUUCGUGGGGGAUAACGUAGGGAAACUUACGCUAAUACCGCAUACGACCUACGGGUGAAAGCAGGGGAUCUUCGGACCUUGCGCGAUUGAAUGAGCCGAUGUCGGAUUAGCUAGUUGGCGGGGUAAAGGCCCACCAAGGCUACGAUCCGUAGCUGGUCUGAGAGGAUGAUCAGUCACACUGGAACUGAGACAUGGUCCAGACUCCUACGGGAGGCGGCAGUGGGGAAUAUUGGACAAUGGGCGCAAGCCUGAUCCAGCCAUACCGCGUGGGUGAAGAAGGCCUUCGGGUUGUAAAGCCCUUUUGUUGGGAAAGAAAAGCAGCAGGUUAAUACCCCGCUGUUCUGACGGUACCCAAAGAAUAAGCACCGGCUAACUUCGUG